AUAAUCGAUUUACGGAUUUAAUUGUGUAAAUUUAUAAUUAUUUAUUAAUUAUUUGACUUCCGUAAAACCGUUCACUCGUAACGAGGUAGCAAAUUUUCUUCCCGGAAGUUUCGAGAAAACUCACCUUUAGCCUAAUUUGAAUAUUCCGGACAUUUUUCGUGUUUUGACUUUUUCGAUCCGGAGUACGGUUUGUUCCGGAGCCGGUCCGGCGGAGCUUUUCGGUAUUCGAUAAUUAUCCAGUUUGUCUCGAUAAACGUGAAACGAGAUAUUUUCUUCAUCCUUAUCUUGUCAUAAUUGCCAUGGGACCCGCAAACCAAUAAUUGAGUUAAAAAGCCCCGUUUUGAUGAUUAUCUUGAAAACUAGUACCGAUUGGACCCCACUUUCUUAAUAUAAAGCUAUUAAAUACGUAUUUUCAUGCCAUAAACGAUCCAAAGGGGUACCAAUUAUUUGUAAAUAUAAAUAUACCUUUCUAGAGCUUAUUUUCACCCGUAAAAUCAUUUCACCAGUUUCUCUGCACGAAUACCGAGAGAAACCGAGCGGUGUUCUUCGUGUUCUUCAUAAUCAAACGAAGAUUUGAAGGCGUUAUUGGAGUCAGAAUCAAGCGUGCGAAUAGUCAAAUCGAAGAUAUCGAAGAGUAGAAUCUAUAUCUGCAAUCAAAAACAACCUGAGAUUCACAGAAAGGCUUAAAGAUGAGAUGAUUGAUUGAGAUUGUGGAUAAGGCUAAUGCUAGGCGAGGAGACAGAGUUGAGGAUCCAGUGGUCGAGGAGUGUUCAGGAAAGUUGAUGAGGUUGGUGCAAGCUGGAAUAGUUGACAGUGAUUCUUCUUAUCGAAGAUGAUCUGAUUCGGUAAGAGAUGUUGUGUAAUAAUAGUGGUAGAUUCUAAUUUCAAUACUGUAACCUGGAUGCGAUCCUGUUGCUUUUAGGGGGUUUAAAUGUUCUCUUUCGAAUCAUUUAUUAAAGUUUAAAUGUUCUCUUGAAA
Daucus carota subsp. sativus is the source of this 978-nucleotide long non-coding RNA. RefSeq lists it as uncharacterized. NCBI's taxonomy places the organism in Eukaryota, Viridiplantae, Streptophyta, Magnoliopsida, Apiales, Apiaceae. The record is from RefSeq and is a predicted model, not a curated record. The transcript has 2 exons.